AAACUUGCAAUUUCCAGUAUAAAAGGCUAUAAUAAUCGUGCUGCUGUGCAGUGAUGAUUCUGAAGCCGUUGUGAAAUAGUCGUUUUGGACUGGGGGGCGGUACCCCACAGCUCCACCAUGAUUUGAUAUGAUAUUUGGGUCGUAUCUGAUUAUGGGGCUGACAUAGAUUCGACAGGCGAUGAAAGACAAAUUGGUUGAAUCCGACAUGGCGUCGUUAAAAGCCAACUAAAAACUGAAUGGCGAUAGAAUCGCUGCGAACGACAAUGUUCGCCUUGCAAUGGCUGCCUAAGAUGGCGUUGAAUAUGGUUGGCGAUUGUUGACCGUAUUCGUUUUAGCAAUUGCGGUGUUCGCCGGGUACAUGGCACCAGAAAUCCCGGCAUU
Molecule: transfer-messenger RNA, 381 nt
Filed under: Alphaproteobacteria bacterium
Lineage: Bacteria; Pseudomonadati; Pseudomonadota; Alphaproteobacteria
Rfam family: Alphaproteobacteria transfer-messenger RNA
About the family: Bacterial tmRNA, also known as 10Sa RNA or SsrA, is named for its dual tRNA and mRNA-like properties.
Source: RNAcentral